RNAcentral lists this small RNA (45 nucleotides) under Arabidopsis thaliana (thale cress). Its description in RNAcentral is "ATSL257860". Lineage: Eukaryota; Viridiplantae; Streptophyta; Magnoliopsida; Brassicales; Brassicaceae. The record is from RNAcentral.
UCAAUCUAUAACGACAGAAAAUACAUAUUAAACGAUACUAUUUGU